Molecule: ribosomal RNA, 469 nt
Filed under: uncultured bacterium
Lineage: Bacteria
Description: partial 16S ribosomal RNA
Rfam family: Bacterial small subunit ribosomal RNA
Source: RNAcentral
GACGAACGCUGGCGGCGUGCUUAACACAUGCAAGUCGAACGGAAAGGCCCUGCUUGCAGGGUGCUCGCGUGGCGAACGGGUGAGUAACACGUGGGUGGUCUGCCCCUCUUUUUGGGUUAAGCCUCGGCAGCUGGGUCUAAUACUUGAUAGAUCCAUGCUUUAGGUGGUGUGGUGGAUAGAUUAGGUUCGGUCUGGAUUGAGCUCGCGGCCGAUCCGCUUGUUGGUGGGGCAAUGGCGGACCAAGGCGUCGACGGGUAGACGGCCUGUGAGGGAGGAGGGACACAGUCGGACUGCGAAAGGGAGCAGGCAGCAACGGGAGGCAGGAGUGGGGCAAAUUCCUCAAUGGGCGCAGGCCUGAUGCAGCGACGGCGCGUGGGGGAUGACGGCCUUCGGGUUGUAAACUACUUACAGCGAUGACGAAGCCCUUGUGGUGACGGUAGUGGUAGAAGAAGCACCGGCUAACUACGUG